AACGGGCAGCUCAAGAACAAAAAAAAAUAUGGUCGAGCUGCAUUUGGUUGUAAUGGAAAUGGAGCAGACAGAGGAAACAGAGGAAUAUGUGAACGGGCAGUUGCAUUUGUUAAGGCAUUCUUGCUUGUCUUGAUGGGUACAUGAACAUAGCAAUGGAGCAGACAGAGGAAUAUGUGAACGGGCAGCUCAAGAACAAAUACGGUGAUGCUUUUAUUCGUGGAAACAAUAUCCUUUACAUCAGUACAGUGAACACACCUUUGAAGUUGAAACAUAGAAGGUCCAAGACCUUUUGGAACUGAUCUGUCCACUUUUCCUCGAAGUGAAGUAAAAGAAAAUACCAUAUGAUUUCUUCUCAUAUGAUCUCUCCAGAUCGACUUCAUCUUUAUAUCUUCGAGAAAGGCAAGAAAAGUUUUGAAUCAUACUUCAGCUUAGAUAUGGUACUCGACAGAUAGACUUCACUUUG
Long non-coding RNA from Raphanus sativus (radish), 463 nucleotides. RefSeq lists it as uncharacterized. NCBI's taxonomy places the organism in Eukaryota, Viridiplantae, Streptophyta, Magnoliopsida, Brassicales, Brassicaceae. The record is from RefSeq and is a predicted model, not a curated record. The transcript has 3 exons.